GCGGGCCUGGGUUACCAGGGGAACCGUGGUCUUGCGGCGGCCGCCGAAGAGGAUGGCGGAGAGCUCAACACCCUCGGGGCUGUA
This 84-nucleotide transfer RNA is filed under the name Pseudarthrobacter polychromogenes. RNAcentral describes it as "tRNA-Arg". Lineage: Bacteria; Bacillati; Actinomycetota; Actinomycetes; Micrococcales; Micrococcaceae. The record is from RNAcentral.